UCCCCCUAGUAUCUUAGAACCCGAGGCACCCCUUCCUUUCUUCCUAGUUGUUUUCGGCCGACUAGGGUUCUGAGAUCUGAAGAAGGGACUGAUUGGGUUUCCAGACACCUACCAUGAGAGCUAAGUGGAAGAAGAAGCGCAUGAGGAGGUUGAAGAGGAAGCGCCGAAAGAUGAGGCAGCGAUCCAAGUAGAACUUGAGUUCGGCUCAUGGCGGUUUUUGUCUUCAGAGUUUAGAGUCGUGCCCCCCCCCCCCCCCCCCAAUUUGCCUGUUCAAGAUGCUGGAAAUGUGAUUUUAUUAUUGCUUAACUUCACUUUUCUAGUAAUGCUUCCUCAUGAUGUUGUUAAUGAAUUUAGUAAUUUAGGCUUGUCUUAGGAUUAGCGAUUUAUAUUUUCGGGAUUUGCGUGCUCUGAUUAGUAUUAUUAUCACCUUUUUGCUUGAUUUAGUUCGUGCGUACUUCUAUUUUGUUACUCUAAAUUAUGUUUUCUCACAGGGCUGAUGAUUGGAAAUGACUGCUAAACUUUGAACUAUCUA
This is a long non-coding RNA of Nelumbo nucifera (sacred lotus), 532 nucleotides long. RefSeq lists it as uncharacterized. NCBI's taxonomy places the organism in Eukaryota, Viridiplantae, Streptophyta, Magnoliopsida, Proteales, Nelumbonaceae. The record is from RefSeq and is a predicted model, not a curated record.